RNAcentral lists this ribosomal RNA (115 nucleotides) under Danio rerio (zebrafish). Lineage: Eukaryota; Metazoa; Chordata; Actinopteri; Cypriniformes; Danionidae. The record is from RNAcentral.
ACCGGCAGCUAGCUCUCUGCAACUCUCACAUGGUCGCCCACUGAAGCUAAGCAGGGCGGCAUAUGGUCAGUACCUGGAUGGGAGACCACAUGGGAAAGCUAGGUUGCUGCCGGAA